Molecule: ribosomal RNA, 485 nt
Filed under: uncultured bacterium
Lineage: Bacteria
Description: bacterial SSU rRNA
Rfam family: Bacterial small subunit ribosomal RNA
Source: RNAcentral
UAACCAUUGGAAACGAUGGCUAAUACCGCAUACGUCCUCAGGGAGAAAGGCUUCGGCCACCCUUGGAUGGUCCCGCGUCUGAUUAGCUUGUUGGUGAGGUAACGGCUCACCAAGGCGACGAUCAGUAGCUGGUCUGAGAGGAUGAUCAGCCACACUGGGACUGAGACACGGCCCAGACUCCUACGGGAGGCAGCAGUGGGGAAUAUUGGACAAUGGGCGAAAGCCUGAUCCAGCAAUGCCGCGUGAGUGAAGAAGGCCUUAGGGUUGUAAAACUCUUUCGCCGGUGAAGAUGAUGACUGUAGCCGGUAAAGAAGCCCCGGCUAACUCCGUGCCAGCAGCCGCGGUAAUACGGAGGGGGCUAGCGUUGUUCGGAUUUACUGGGCGUAAAGCGCGCGUAGGCGGUAUAUCAAGUUAGGCGUGAAAGCCCCGGGCUCAACCCGGGAACUGCGCUUAUUACUGAUAAACUAGAGUCCGGGAGAGGGUAG